AAGAACAAAGUAGUGACGGUACAUGAGAAAAGAAGAAUGUAAGGGUUACUGGGCAGGAAAACAAACAGAACUUGGUACUGUUUGUUUGGGGAUGUAAAAGGCAGAGUAGAUUUUAAAAUUUAAAGUCUGGGUGUCCAGCAAGGAAGAUAGAAAUUUGGAGGAGAAGUAGGUGUAUCAGCAAGAUGAAAACUGAGCCAGAGCUGGAGAACCAGGCGCAGAAAACAAGAGGCAACCGAGUGUGGCAGGCAGCCCAGAACUGCUACAAGCCCACUCCGGCCACAGGAGCUUUUGGUGCGAAUGCCACCACGAUGCUGCCUGCAGGGGGAGCUCGCCAUGGCUGAUGCUGCACCCUCGGCCCUGAGACAGCGCGGCUUCCACCUCCAGAAGUGAUUUCUGACUGACCCAGGCUGAAGCCUCUGACUGACAGGGCGCAGGUCACAUGCCGGCUUUCCAGCAGGGAAGGAGCGGAGGGGAGUGGGAGGGAAACGGCCCCUACUACCGUCCCCCGGGUCCUGCCUGCCUCCCCAGCCCUAACCCCGAUGAUUUUCCCAAACAGGCUAGGAUGCGGAGGCCGAGCAGAAGAAAUUGACCACUGUUCAAUAAAGCAGUGAGGAAGACAAGCUACCUGGCUUCCUGGCUACCCGGAAGAGUCGUUGUCUACACUCAGUCACUGUUUCCACUAACCUCACACUGGGAGACCUUAGAGCAUAUUAUUUAAGAGCUCAGUUUUUGAGAUGGUCAACCUGGGUUCAAAUUCUGCUAGGACCACUUACUUAGCUUUAUGACCUAGUACAAGUCACUUAGACUUUGCAAGUCUCUGAUUAUUAUCUUAAAUUAGGGAUAAUCAUAACUUCUCAGUGUUGUAUGCAAAGUCCUAAGCACAGUGUCUGGAAUGUAGUAAGUGUACAUUCAAUGUAACAAGUGUACAUUCAAUGUAACCUGCUACUAUUUAUUCCUUGCACCUCUGCAACCUGGUUGCUCCUCUUCUACUGUUGACACUGCCCCCAUCAAGGCCUCCAGUGAUCUUCUAGUUGCUAAAACUUAUUAAUGUUUUUCCAUUUUUUAAGACAAUAUUUUAUUUAAUUUCUUCAAGGUGUUACAUACUGUUGACUCCUCCCUCUUAAAAUACAGUCUUUUUUUUUUUUUUUUUUUUUUUUUUUUUGAGAUGUAGUCUCGCUCUGUCACCCAGGCUGGAGUGCAGUGGCAUGAUCUCGGCUCACUGCAACCUCUGCCUCUCGGGUUCAAGCAAAUCUACUGCCUCAGCCUCCUGAGUACCUGGGAUUACAGGUGCCCACCAAAGCACCCAGCUAAUUUUUGUAUUUUUUUUUAGUAGAGACG
This 1338-nucleotide long non-coding RNA is filed under the name Homo sapiens (human). Its description in RNAcentral is "HSALNT0042103". The record is from RNAcentral. Lineage: Eukaryota; Metazoa; Chordata; Mammalia; Primates; Hominidae.